CCUACGGGGGCUGCAGUGGGGAAUAUUGGACAAUGGGCGAAAGCCUGAUCCAGCCAUGCCGCGUGUGUGAAGAAGGCCUUCGGGUUGUAAAGCACUUUCAGUGGGGAAGAAAGCCUUGGGGCUAAUACCCUCGAGGAAGGACAUCACCCACAGAAGAGGCACCGGCUAACUCCGUGCCAGCAGCCGCGGUAAUACGGAGGGUGCGAGCGUUAAUCGGAAUUACUGGGCGUAAAGCGCGCGUAGGCGGUCUGAUAAGCCGGUUGUGAAAGCCCCGGGCUCAACCUGGGAACGGCAUCCGGAACUGUCAGGCUAGAGUGCAGGAGAGGAAGGUAGAAUUCCCGGUGUAGCGGUGAAAUGCGUAGAGAUCGGGAGGAAUACCAGUGGCGAAGGCGGCCUUCUGGACUGACACUGACGCUGAGGUGCGAAAGCGUGGGUAGCAAACAGGAUUAGAUACCCCAGUAGUC
RNAcentral lists this ribosomal RNA (464 nucleotides) under Vreelandella stevensii. Its description in RNAcentral is "partial 16S ribosomal RNA". It matches the Rfam family "Bacterial small subunit ribosomal RNA", at positions 338 to 795 of the family's 1533-position model. Lineage: Bacteria; Pseudomonadati; Pseudomonadota; Gammaproteobacteria; Oceanospirillales; Halomonadaceae. The record is from RNAcentral.